This is a long non-coding RNA of Symphalangus syndactylus (siamang), 1293 nucleotides long. RefSeq lists it as uncharacterized. NCBI's taxonomy places the organism in Eukaryota, Metazoa, Chordata, Mammalia, Primates, Hylobatidae. The record is from RefSeq and is a predicted model, not a curated record.
GCUGAGGUCCAUGGAUGCCCAGCAGCGUGAGCCCUCCACAUCCGCACCCCACCUCCCUCCCUUCCCCAGAGGAAACAGUUCUGCUUAUCAGUGGCGGCUGCUCCUCACCCAGCAGCGGAAGUGAGGCUCCACAGCGGAGGUCCUGACGUGCUCCAGGGCUGACUCAGCCUCCUCCCUCCAGCAACCAGGACUUAGGCCAGGGCUGCCAUUCCUCGAGGAGCCAGCAGGGGACAAGGUGGCGGCCCCAACCCCUCCCAUCAAGGCCAACGCUGGGCCACAUCCACCUCUGUCCCAGCCAGGCCCUGGGGACUCGGUGGCGGAGGGACACAGCUGCUGAGCGACGACCGUAAGAACCGGCUCCAGAGGCCAGAGCUGUCUUGGGGACCAGACAGGCUGGCCCGUGAGAACGGGGAUCCUCCUGUGGGAGGAAACCGUCCCGGAAGCCUCCAUGGCCCUCGGUGGCCACACGGCUCUCCUUCCGGAAGAGACCCCCGGGUCACCACACGCAGAGCCAGAAAGGGUCCAGUUAUUUCAUUUUUACUAUUUCACAUUUUCAGCAAACAAAUCAAGGUGCAAACAGGGUUUAUUUCACAUUAAUAUAUUAACUGGAUUUUUUUGUCAAAUAAAUAGGGAAUUCUCUUUAAAUAACUAUCUCCUCACUUCAUGGCCAGUCCAGGAACAAACAAGAGUGAAUGUUAGCGCAUCCAGGGGCACGAAGCUUAAGGGGAAGAAGCAGGCUUGGGGGCUGGUGGCAGGUCCCGGCCAGCACACAGGGUCAGGGGCCCUUGUUCCCGGCCCCACCCAGCAGCCAUGCAUUCUCUGGUUCCAGUCGGGAAGCUCCUUCUAGAGGGAAGUGAGAGGUGAGGGAAAGCAAAUUCCAGAAACACCAGCAAAAGGCAGAAGGGCUUCCUCCCAGCCUCGGUGGCUCUGCCCCGACGCCACCCAAGCCCUGGAAGCUCAUUUUACAGCUUCGAAAGUCACACAGGGUGGCAACAACAUGACCCAGGAUAGGGAAGGGAAGGAAGGGUGGCGGGGGCUGCAGCUGGACCCUGGCUGAGUGGAAUGCGGGCGCGGUGGCCUUCUGAGACCAGCACAGACCAGCAGAGGGAAUGUGAGCAGGGUCUGGCAGGGCCGGGGAAGACACCUGGCUGGUCUGAAGUGGCUCAUGAGGCUGAGUGUAGCAGUGGGUGCCAGACUGAGGGAGCUGGACUGCGGUGGAGGAGAUGGCCAGAGAGUCCCUUCGAGGGGAGAAGCUGAGAGUGAAACUGGAACAGGGGAUGCCCCGUGCUCCCA